Molecule: ribosomal RNA, 727 nt
Filed under: Tropidurus sp. 1 ALGC-2018
Lineage: Eukaryota; Metazoa; Chordata; Lepidosauria; Squamata; Tropiduridae
Description: partial 12S ribosomal RNA
Rfam family: Bacterial small subunit ribosomal RNA
Source: RNAcentral
CCGCACACCAGUGAAUACGCCCUAAAGUAAUAAUGGAGCAGGUAUCAGGCACGACCUUCAGCCCAAAACACCUAGCCACGCCACACCCCCACGGGAACUCAGCAGUGAUAAACAUUAGGCCAUGAGUAAACACCUAACAAAGCUCGACCUAGUUAUAAUAUUUAGGGCCGGCCAACCUCGUGCCAGCCGCCGCGGUUAUACGAGGGGCCCAAACCAGCACCCAACGGCGUAAAUUGUGACUAGAAUGAUUAGCUGCCCAUAAAGGGAAAAACCAAAGCCUAGCCGUAAAACCCAGGUAAAAUGAAUCCCCUUUACCCACAGCAAUUUGAACUCACGAAAGCUAAGAAACAAACUAGGAUUAGAUACCCUACUAUGCUUAGACAUAAACAAGACCUUUACUAACGAAAAGUCCGCCCGAGAACUACAAGCGAAAAGCUUGAAACUCAAAAGACUUGGCGGUGCCCCACACCCGACUUAGAGGAGCCUGUCCUAUAAUCGAUAAUCCACGAUAAACCCAACCGCCCUUUGCCCCACCAGCCUAUAUACCGCCGUCGCAAACCUACCUCACAAGAGGAAAAACGUAGGUUAAAUAGUCUAACACUAAAACGUCAGGUCAAGGUGUAGCUAAUAAGGCGGAAGAGAUGGGCUACAUUCUUUAAAACUAAAGAACACGAAAAGAACUAUGAAACACCCUCCCAAAGGCGAAUUUAACAGUAAAACUGGCAAG